Molecule: transfer RNA, 77 nt
Filed under: Alphaproteobacteria bacterium
Lineage: Bacteria; Pseudomonadati; Pseudomonadota; Alphaproteobacteria
Description: tRNA-Ile
Rfam family: tRNA
About the family: Transfer RNA (tRNA) molecules are approximately 80 nucleotides in length. Their secondary structure includes four short double-helical elements and three loops (D, anti-codon, and T loops).
Source: RNAcentral
GGGCCUGUAGUUCAGUUGGUUAGAACCCACCGCUCAUAACGGUGUAGUCGUAGGUUCGAGUCCUACCGGGCCCACCA